This 1747-nucleotide long non-coding RNA is filed under the name Homo sapiens (human). Its description in RNAcentral is "HSALNT0101251". Lineage: Eukaryota; Metazoa; Chordata; Mammalia; Primates; Hominidae. The record is from RNAcentral.
UAAAGAGGUCAAGUGUGGAAACAGCAAGAAGGCUGCUGUCUGCAAGCCAAGAAGAGAGCCCUCGCCAGAAACCAAAUUAUCCAGACCCUGGAUAUUGGAUUUCCAGCCUCCAGAAUGAUACGGCUAAGACCGCAGGCAUGGUGGCAUGCAGCCGGUAGUCUCAGCUACUUGGAAGGCUGGAGCAGGAGGACCACUUGAACCCAGGAGAUCAAGACUGCACCCUUCCACAUCCAGAAUUAUAUUCUUGGGGAAAAAAGCAACACUCAGACAAAUGCUUGAAGAUAGGUAAGUUUGUUAAAGCCCUGAAAAUAUUUAAAAUGUCAGAUAAGGGAUGAGCUAAAAAUCGCAAUGUAUCUAACUGCGCUCGCUCUGUUGCUCAGGCUGGAGUACAAUGGCACAAUCAUGGCUCAUUGCAGCCUCAAACUCCCGGACUCAAGUGAUCGUCCCGCCUCAGUCUCCCAAGUAGCUGGGACUACAUGUGUGAGCCAUCUUGCCCAGACCAUAAGUGGACGAUUUUUUAAAGAAAGGUCUCCUUAUGCAGAAGCAAGCAAACAGCAAACCAGUAUGUACUACAUAGUUCGUUCUUGCCCAAAUCAUCCCCUAACCACCAAAACAGAAAGAUGAACCACAUUGAUUUAGCAAGAGUACAGGAGAAAGAUCUAGAAGACAUAGAUCCACUCCACAGUACUUUCUUCUAAGUGGGAAGGGAAUGGGGAAGGAGGAGGGGUGUGUGUGGGGGGGAACUUUUCCCUUACUUCAAUACAUCUUUGUGUGAUUUGAGAAAUAUGUCACUUUAGUAAUUCAAAGUAUUAAAAUAUAUUUUUAAAGUGUGUUUAUGUCCAACUGCUAUAAAACAAACCCCAAAACUACCUUUUGUCCUAUAUAGUGUUAAAGAGUAAAAUUUAUCGAAUUAUGAUAAUCUAAAAUUUAGCAGCAAGAAUUUAGAAAAAGACUUCAUUAGCUUUUUGUGUUGUUUCUAGAAGAGAAUGGGAAAUUAUCUGCAAGUGAACACUUCUAGUUUAUACACGUCCAAACUCAGCAAAUCAUAUAAAUUAAACAUGUGCAGGGACUUUUUGUGUAUUAUACCUCAAUAAAGCUAUACAAACAUUUUUCUUAGGCUAUCAGCUUUACUCUCUAGUAUUAAAACAGGUAGCAAAAGCCAUGUCUGUGGGAAUUUGGAUGACAGGACACAGAUGUGUGAAGAUAGGAAAGUGAUGUUUACUAUUAUUGGGCACACGAAUGACACAAGAUUCAUUCUAGCAAGGGAUACCUUAGGCAUAACCAGAGUUCCAGCUGUGUGUUCAGGGGUCUCAUGCGCAGAAAAACAGUCCUUUCCAUUUCCAUCCACUGCACAGCCAUAGCUGUAGCCAGAAAGAAGGUAAGAGCCGUGCUGUCGCGCAUACCAGUUGCCAUAGCGGUAACUCUGGCUGGGCUGGAACUCCUGCUUCACUCUAAUAGCAGAGGGGAGACUACAGGAAUGACAAUCAUCACAACCAACGCAGAAUCAUCCACAAACCCCCAAACCCUUUCUUCUUUCCAGGAAGUUUGCAGUAAGCUGAACACCUAUGUUCAAAGCCAUAGUUUGAUACCUAAUGUAGAUGACGGGUUGAUGGGUGCAGCAAACCACCAUGGCACGUGUAUACCUAUGUAAAAAACCUGCACGUUCUGCACAUGUACCCCAGAACUUUAAAAAAAAAAAAGCCAUAGUUUGUAAGUUACCAACAGUUAUGUAGCAAAUAGAACAGUA